AAAACAAAAAGGAGACGGGACUGCAAAAGUUGCAUGCAACCCAAUUCUCAGAGAUGAGCUAUUUAUGCCAAGCCCGGAUCUCACUCAAAGUCUGUGGCAGUCAAUCCCCUUGACUGCCAUGCAGGCAGGAUUUGGCCCUGGUAAAGUAUCCGCCUGCAUUCCCAGCUGCUUGGUCCAGCUGCUGCGAAGGAAUGCGGGGCUGCCAGCAGAAAAAUAUUUCCAGCUCAGCGCCUGGAUCUAAACUUUGUCAGUGCUGAAUCUGAUAAAGCAGAUCCCUGCUUGACAAUAAUUCAAUUUAGCUUCUUCUUCCUCCCCAGCAUUCACAUCAUGUUUGAGCCAGCUACUCAAAUGAAUCUAGCUCUCACCAUUUGAAAGAGACAUGUAUGUUGAUGAGCAGUAUGGGGAAGGAAAGCAGAGUUACACGUGUGCGCCUGUUAAUUUUACGGCAAAUUACAGCCCAGUAUCCAAUACAAUACUUCUAUAGGUCUGAAGCCAGAUCCUGUGAGCCAACAAGAGUUUCACCACUUUGUAACAUGCUACAGAGAAUUAGAUGACAGUUUGCACAAAAGCACUUUGAGGAGGGAUUAAAACAAGUAAAUAAACACGUUGCAGUCAUUUUAGCACUCUGGUUUAAGCAGAAAUGUUUGAAGGCAUAAAAGCCAGUUAAUUCCUAUUGGAAAUCAAUAGAAGCUGGGGAAAUACAGCACUCUGUCCUUUGACUAUGGUCUGCCCUAAUCUCUGCUUUCUCUGAAAUAAGAUUGAAAUGUAAGGUGCUCAUUGAUUUUGCAACUGCCCCCAGAUUUCCCACCUAACUGGAAAAGCUGUCUCUGUAAAAACCUCAUUCAUCACACUCUGAACUUCACCCUCUCCAGGCGAAUCAGCUGUCACUAAAGCUCAAAUAUAAAUCUUGCUAUAACAUCGCCAUGCUUUUCAGGGUAAAAUUCAGAAGAUAAGCUAUUUCCACGAAAAAAAUAAAAUAAAAAAUUAAAAAAAUAAGCGUCUCUUUCAGCCCCGGUUUUGCAUCCACCUCCGGCUCGCUCUAUCCCUGGCUGUGUCUGAUACACAGUGUGCUGUCUUGCCCGAGAAACCCGGGGGCACCACUGGCUCUGCCUGUUGACCACAGCGAUUUCUGACUGAUGACUUGAAGCGGAGCCACGGGUCCUGUCGCCAGCGCCGUAAACCCGGGAGGGAAAAGCCGAAUUACAGCAGAGCGGCCGGGAAAACUUUCGAGGAACCUCCCGCAGCCUGCAUCUGCCGGGCGGCUUUUGAGAGAAACCCAGGAGAACGGGGCGCUCGCGGUUUACCCCCAGCGCCGGGGCUGAGGGUACCUCGGCGGCAGCCCCCCUCGCUCCGCACCAUCCGCGCUGUCCCCGGGACGGCACCUGCCCGCUGCGCUCCGCGCUGCC
This 1406-nucleotide long non-coding RNA is filed under the name Strigops habroptila (Kakapo). Its description in RNAcentral is "lncRNA (ENSSHBG00005012763.1)". The record is from RNAcentral. Lineage: Eukaryota; Metazoa; Chordata; Aves; Psittaciformes; Psittacidae.